UUCUCCACGGCCACCGGUCAGCCUCCCCGACUCUUUAAUCCCUUUGUCCUUGCUCUCCCUGGAAACCGCGGGGCUCUCCUUCUCCUUGUAACAUCUCGUCAGAGGACCCAGAAAAAUAAGCACACACUUUCAAAUUGCUUUCCAAGCUCUCCCCUUGAGCCACGUGGACGUUCCAGCCACCACCUACGUGGGGUCAGAGGCAACGCUUGUAUCAGACUCGAACCUCUGCCCUCCAACCUGCCAUGGGGCCGCCAGGCCAGGCCACCAGGGUGGCUCCUGUGGUACCGGCAGGAGUUGGCCUGAGGGCUGCCAGCUGCUAAAACCAUAGACCCCACCCCACACUGCAGUGCCGCUUGGCAGGGGCCAGCGUUCUCCCCGACGUGGUGCGGGAGGUUCUGGGCCAGUCCUGGAAGACCCCUGGCCUGGCCUCUGUGGGCCUCCCUCAUCGACUCUCCAGUGUGCGGCCCCAUCUAACCACAAGGCAUUCAGAACUGUGACUGUCCCACGUCCACAGGAGGACAGAGGUUGACAAGAACGCACGGCGCCCUCUCUGCCUCACAGCCGCAGCAAGGACACCUUGCACAGAAGGCAACGUUGCCAGCUCUCCUAGCGUGAAGAGAGCAGGCCUGGAGAGUCCUGUCCUUCCCCACAGAUGCCAUCUGAGAGCCUGCUGGAAGGUGGCCUUGCCCUCUGAGCCACUGUCUGGAGGCCCGCUGGCCCGAGGGCAGGGAGGAUGUAACUAGGGAAUGUGCCUCCCCAGCAUUCAGAGAAACCCUGCUGAGCCUGGGAGAAACAGGUCCCCAGCUGUGCCCCGAGCUGUGCCCCCCUAGAGUCCCGCUCCGGAGGCCUCCCUGAUGCCACGGGAGCGCAGGAGCUCCUGGGCCCCCGGGGGGACUUCGCACCACAGAUGCUCCAGGAACCAGUGAGACGUGGUGCAUCCGCAUCUUUCCUUCUAACUAACUUGUGCCGUUUUUAAUGGGAAAGAGCCAGUAACACCCAGUCAGUGUGCCUUCCCAACCUCGAGGAUGGGGACCCAGGUUUGGGGUUUUCUUCUCUGCGGCCAGUGACUGGGGCCACUGAGGCUCCUCUCAGUUGACCCACUGUGACACCCAACUUCAGGCACCUGCAGAUGGUGUGGUGCUCUCCUGGGCAUCCUGUGGGUGUUCCCAGAAAUCAUCGUGGGAGUCCUGAGUGGCAGGAUUGCCGCAGUCCGGCUGGGCACAAAACCACGAGCCACUCCAGCAGGAACAAACUCCAUUUCCAGAACUCCCGCGAACGCCAUGCACGCGGCCUUCUCCGGGGACACAACACACCAACAGGAAAUCCCUCCUCCGGAAUUCCCUCCUACCGCACCCCCCAACCAAUGGGAACUCUCCGGGAGUCCCCACGAGAGCUCUAAAGCAGCAGGCCGAGGCGGACAGCAGGGGUCCAACAUCCAACCGAACACACAUUUCAACACAAUCAUCACCAUCCCAAUGGCCCGCUGGCAUCAGCCCCCAACCAAAAAUGCCAUGCGUCACUCCCACUCGGCCACGGCUCCCAGCAUCUCCCCCCCCCCGUUCAAUCAAGCACCAAACGUGUGGCUUAGGGACCGUGCCUGUCAGGCUGUCCAACACUACAUAUGGCCUUUACCCGUCAUCGGAUGAGCUGACCUCAAGGCGUCAGCCUCCUGUCUUAGGUUGGUACCACUGCAAUUGGAUCUUACCCGUCACUGACUACCGGUCCAGCAUACAGCCAUACUUGUGGAUAGGCCUAUGCACCAGUGGGGGGGGGGGUGAGGUUAUUUGCUCACCUCUGUUGGCCCCCAAAUUUGGCCCUGGUGCCAGUGGGGGGGUGAGGUUCUCUGCCUCACCUCUGCUGGCCCCCAAAUUCCAGACUAUCACUAGCAGAAGGGAGGAGGAUACAGAAAUGCCACCACACUAAGCCAAUUGACGGCUCCUUUGAAAAAUUGUACCACCGGUGACACCAUCAGCAAAGAUACUCCAGCAUUACCACAAUUCGCUGCACCAACAGACAGUUUACAAUGCAUACAAGUGAUACAUAGUCCAGGCAAGUUCUGCAAGCAGUUCAAAGCAGAGGAAUCUAUCAAUAUGUCCAUCUCCUCCCAAAGUAAACCGACUCCUUGAUUGAGCAUUACUUGUUGAGUUACAUUAUUCAUUGAUGCAUCAGUUUAUACAGUUUGUUGUGAUAACUAUCAAAGAAGCUGUAGUUUGGUUUUAUCUUUGUCUUCACCGGCACUGGGAUGAAGAUAGAAAUUCUGGCAAUGAUGGCUAAAAAAAAAUUAUGUAACAUUCCAACAGGUACUAAGAAAACAAUUUUCUGAACAAUUUACAUUAUCCUGAACAGAAUUAUUAAAUAUAAUGAAAAGGAAAGGUGAAAGUAAACAAACAGAUCUGCCAACCUCCCUAUUUGUUCACAUAUUAAAACAAUCCUCAACAGCUGUUUACCAAAUUCAAACCAAACCAUUCAAAUCAUGUGAGUAAAAAAAAUUCAGAUCCAUUUUUUCAUGAGUGCUCCUCAUAUAUGAUAUAUGGACAUACGCACAUACAGACAUACAACACAAAACACAAGUGUGCACACAAACGUACAACACAUAAGACAAUAGUAAAGGCCUUGUAGCUUUUCACAGGUGAAAUCUCCAUUGCAAUGUUUAAAAACUCCACAGUCAAAAAAUAAAACUGAUCAGAAAAACAUUAACCUAGGUCUGUAUGAGCUCAAAAAAUAAAAUAGAACUUUAUGAUGUGGGAAAGGACAAUAAUAAAAUAGAUAUUGAAAAAAGACAUCCUGGUUACCACCUGGGUUUGACUCUUUUUUUGGAUAUCCCAUCCUUUUUCCUGUAACUUGCAUAAUGGGUCUGAAGGUAUUCCCACAAGCAA
RNAcentral lists this long non-coding RNA (2876 nucleotides) under Marmota monax (woodchuck). The record is from RNAcentral. Lineage: Eukaryota; Metazoa; Chordata; Mammalia; Rodentia; Sciuridae.